This 227-nucleotide ribosomal RNA is filed under the name uncultured bacterium. RNAcentral describes it as "partial 16S ribosomal RNA". It matches the Rfam family "Bacterial small subunit ribosomal RNA", at positions 109 to 334 of the family's 1533-position model. The record is from RNAcentral.
AGUAACGCGUGAGGAACCUGCCUCAAAGAGGGGGGAAACAGUUGGAAACGACUGCUAAUACCGCAUAAGCCCACAGCUCGGCAUCGAGCAGAGGGAAAAGGAGUGAUCCGCUUUGAGAUGGCCUCGCGUCCGAUUAGCUAGUUGGUGAGGUAAUGGCCCACCAAGGCGACGAUCGGUAGCCGGACUGAGAGGUUGAACGGCCACAUUGGGACUGAGACACGGCCCAG